CCUUCGGUAGCUCAGCUGGAAGAGCAUGGGACUAUAACAGAACAUUCUGUGAUAUCCCAAGGUUGCUGGUUCGACUCCAGUCCGAAGGA
Lactifluus volemus is the source of this 89-nucleotide non-coding RNA. The record is from the annotation of a GenBank genome assembly. Lineage: Eukaryota; Fungi; Basidiomycota; Agaricomycetes; Russulales; Russulaceae.